UUAUUCUCAUGUUUUAAAUGACUAAAUCUUUUUACUGUGACGUAUGUAGCUCAACAAACGAGAUCUUCCCCUCCAAGGGCUUGAAAAUAUGAAAUAGUAAAUAAAUAAAUCCCACAUAAAUGCAGGUAUUUAUUAUGGCUCACAUGAAUAAAUACAGACAAUUAUAUUUUCUUGAUUAUAGUAGCUUUUGUAGAAUCAAAAGUUUUUGUGAUGAAUGAGGUUUUGCUUAUCAUGUUUUACAGGUAAAAAAUGUCAAAAGUUAUAAACUAUCUUUAGGCUACCAGAGAUGUCUAUAAUGAUACAUUAUGUAGAGAAAAACAUUAGUACAGCUUACAGAAUAUGUAUAAAAACUGAUUUAGAAGUAAAUGGAUAGUUUUCUGAAAGUUCCCGACUACAGUUUAACACCACCCACCCAGAUCAGCCCCCAAGUGUCUAUGUAAUGCUGGUAUGGUGUGUGAGUUUGACUUGGCCUUUAUCCGGGUGGGUUUGGGUUUGGGUGGAUAAAGGCCAAGUCAGAAUUCUCUGAGCAGCUGGAAAAAGCUGCUAAUAAACAAAGACAUCAAAAAGUGUGGGCUUUAGGUGUAGCCCCCGCUUUCUGAUGCACUAAUUAGACUUAGUAACCGACACCCCAUACCAGCAUUACAUAGACACUUGGGGGCUGAGCUGGGUGGGUGGUGUUAUAAGCACGUGUUUUGUUAGAUAUAUUUUUUCAGACACCAUCUUCAUGAACUGCUGAGCCAAACUUGAUCCAUCAGUGCUGGACUGCACAGAUAACUACAUGCCACAAGGAGACUGCUGUGUUAUGAACUGCCAUACCAGUGUGUCUUCAAUGGAGAAGAUGACACACCCAUCACCUGACCUCCUGCCUGAUCUGGAGACCAUCAUCAUGCUGCCACACUACACACCUCUGAGACCAUCAAUGAUGACUCAUACUGAGGAAACUGUAUUUCCUGUCAGAGAUGCUCAGUGAUCCUCAGAGCAGAGAGCGGUAUUGCUGUCUUCUGAGUUCUUCAGUGUUCCAACUGAGACAUUCAAACCUCCCUGCAGAGCUCAUGUCUUUCCUCACCAUCAUGCGAGUGUGAGAUUGCUCUGGAUUCUGGUUAUGUGGCCUGCAGCACCUAUAAGAAUAAGCUCGUCCAGUGUGCCUGCAUUCCAGCUUCACAGAAAAGAACAUCAGACACCAGCGAGGG
Maylandia zebra (zebra mbuna) is the source of this 1190-nucleotide non-coding RNA. Lineage: Eukaryota; Metazoa; Chordata; Actinopteri; Cichliformes; Cichlidae. The record is from RefSeq and is a predicted model, not a curated record.